Non-coding RNA from Phoenix dactylifera (date palm), 2758 nucleotides. Lineage: Eukaryota; Viridiplantae; Streptophyta; Magnoliopsida; Arecales; Arecaceae. The record is from RefSeq and is a predicted model, not a curated record.
ACACAAACAGCCGGUAAAAAUAAAGUUUUUGCACAUAGCUUUCUUGAACUUCUGCAGUCAACUAGAUAGUUCUCUUUUGCAUCAAUCUGUCAUUAUUCGUAUGGAAAUCACACAUUUGCACACUUCUCUUUUUAUUGAUUAUCCGAUGUAUAUAAUAACAUGUAUAUUUGAUGAUGAAGACCAUGGUUAGUUGAUUUGCAACUAGAAAUCAUAUAACUACAUCUUGACAAAUAGUCAUAUUCAUACUAAUGUGCACCUAAGAAGGUGCAUUAGGCCUUAUUUGAUCUUCAUCUAGGUAAACUAGUGAAAUGUUGGAUUUCUGACACUAAUUUACAUAAUUUAGGGUUCUUUUCAUGAUAUGCAAUACACACUAAAAUGAGAAAAAAUCCAAAUAAUAAGAUACAUGUUUAAAUUGAGUGUGAGCUGAUUUGUGAGGAUUUAGAGCAAAUUGUUCUCAAUUUUUAGUAGCAUAAGUAUAUUUUCAUAAUUCAACUGAAUUUAUCCAAGAUAUAAUUUUAGAAGUUGCAGAGAACUUUGAUAAAUUUGGUAAUGCCAUACAAGAAACCCAAGAAACCCCCUUAUUCUUUUCAAUUUGCAAUUUCCCUCUAUCUUCUCCAAUGCCUUUGUACAGUCGCCUUUCCACAUCCUCGGUGUUUUUGGUCUUGAUUGCCAACCAUCACUACUUAACCUCCCCAUCUGCUGCCACCUAUCUCAGUUUGCUUGCUUCCAUCCUUUUUGUCCGAUCACCACCUUCUACAUGUCACCUCAUUAUCAAUGUCCUAAUUAUUGAUCUCUUGAAUGCUCCUAAUUUCACCAUCCCCUCUUGUUUUAUCACCUCCAUCCUACUCACAGCAUCUUCUUCAACCCCAUCUCCCUGUUCUCUGCAUUUCGGUCCUUCACCCACUAUACUCCCCUAUUACCUCUAGUCACUUCUUCCUUGUCCUUGACAUCCCAAUGCUUUGCCCCAACCCACCAACCCUGCAACAUCCCUUGCUCCUUCCUCUUCCACCUCAAACUACCUUAACCCCAUACUCAGUACCCUGAUCUUCUGCAGCCUCCACUAUCUCCUACCAUCCCCCCCUUGGCAGUCUCAUCCACUGCCUCACUCUCACUCUCCUCUACCAUUUGAUGCCAUUAGUCCAAUCAUGCCACAUCAAAAUCAGCAGGAAGGGGGUUGGGGAUAGUAUGGGUGCAAGUAGUGCAACAUACUAUGGUUAUUCUAUGACUAUCCUCUCGACAACAGCCUCACAUUAGUCUCUAUGUUUUAUUGCAGUAACAUAGGUUUUUGGACUGCAGAAUAAAAAAUGUUAUUUAAGAUAUUUGGCUUCUGGCUUAUGAGACCCAUCUAAAUUCAAAUUCAUGAUCAGCAAGCACAUGUCCAGCAUUCCCUAUUGCCCCAUCGACUUCAACCACAUCUCCCUGUUCUCUGCAUUCAGUCCUCCACCCAUUGUGCUCCAGUAUUGCCUCCAUUCACUUCUUCCUUGUCCUGAAUGUCCGAAUUCUUUGCUCCAACCCAUCACCACCCUUUUCUCCCCAAAUCCUGCAACAAGCCUUGCUCCUCCCUAUUCCACCUUUAACUACCUUAUCCCCAUUUUCUGCACCCCGAGCUUCCACAGCCCCCACCAUCUCCUACCAUCCCCCACUCCGCAAUCUCCUCCUCCUCUGCCCCUCUCUCACUUUCCUCCACCAUUUGAUGCCAUUAGUCCAAUCAUGCCACAUCAAAAUCUGUGGGAAGGGGGUUGGGGAUAGUUUGGAGUGCAAGGAGUGCAACAUACUAUGGUUAUCAUGUGGCUAUCCUCUUGACAUCAGCCUAGCAUUAAUUAAUAUAUAGCAAUAAUAUAGGGUUUUGGACUACAGAAUGAAAAAGAGAAUAUAUGUUACUUAAAAUAUUGGCUUCUGGCUCAUGAGCAAUUCAAAUUCAUGAUCAGCAAGCAUAUCUCCAGCACUCCCUAUGCAAAUCACUGGUCAUCCAUGAUCACCAUCUUAAGAUGUGGACCUCAUCCAUCUUUUCUUUUCAAAUUUGAUGGUUUGAAAAUUUCUAGGUAAUAGAUGAUCUUGAAUUUGUUUAAACCUUCUAGAAUGUUUAGUGCAUAAUUGAUCACAUACUAACAUUGUGGCAAUGGAAAAUGGGUGUUCUACAAAAGAACCAUGGGUCAUAUACCGGCGUAUUAUUGCUUAAAGAAUAAAUAGUCCUAUAUCCAGAAGUUUUAAUGCUGUGAAAUGUUGAUGCUUGGUACUGACAUUCAUAUAUGUAUGUCAGCUUAGUCAUUCAGAAAGCUAUUCUAAAGUCCAAAAUGCUGCACUUUUGUAUUGCUAUAGGUACACUGAAUGAUAGCAUAAUUGAAAAGAAAGCGGCUCUCUACCUCCUUGUUUGAUAUUUCCAAAAUCUUUAAAGCAACUCAGACAUCCCAAGAUACCUGAAAAGAAGGGCAAUUCAAAGGAACAGAAGGACUGAAUGAUGGGUCGGACACUUAUCAAUAUUCAUGAAGAUCACUGAAGAAUUAAAGAAGUAACUCUUUCUAUGUUAGUACUAGGGGCAUGUAGUUUAUUAGGGUACAGGUGAUCUAUUGUCUUGAUAGUCAAUGGGAACUGCAGGUGCUUGAGGGAUGUAGUGUUUUGUUUAGGUGUAUAAUGAUAUCUAUGAUUUUACAGUGAAAAGGGUUUGCAUCUUUCCUGUGUCUUGAUCCGAACAUUGCAGCAGGUCAUGCAUUGGAAAUUUGUUCCAGAACCAUUGGAUAUCUGAGUUGUUUAUGUUUCA